Molecule: long non-coding RNA, 402 nt
Filed under: Ananas comosus (pineapple)
Lineage: Eukaryota; Viridiplantae; Streptophyta; Magnoliopsida; Poales; Bromeliaceae
Description: long non-coding RNA (ACOM_LNC025559)
Source: RNAcentral
AGUGGGUUUAUAAAUUAAAAAGCGAAAAAGAUAGUGUAAUAGGAUAUAUAUAUAUAUAUAUAUAUAGAGUUGGAAUGGGCUACUAUUAGUAGCAAAAUUUUAUUGUUGCUAUUAGUUUUUUAGCCUUUGGAUCAACUCUUUUGAUUAUUUCUAAUCAUGGAAUUACAUACUAUAACCCAGUGGGGACCACUCAACCCUAGGAGAACCACUCAACUCUAGCCGACUAAUAUCAUCCUGACCCUAUAAUUUGUUAUCCAAGGGUUAAAAACUUGAUAGCAAAAAGAGCGUUUUAUUAUUAAUAGUAUUCCAGCCUAAUUCUAUAUAUAUAUAUGUGGGAGAGUUUGUAGGGAAUUGGAAUAGCGUAUUAGUUAGGUUAAGGGGAGUGGGAAUGGGAUUUUGGGG